Long non-coding RNA from Callithrix jacchus (white-tufted-ear marmoset), 548 nucleotides. RefSeq lists it as uncharacterized. Lineage: Eukaryota; Metazoa; Chordata; Mammalia; Primates; Cebidae. The record is from RefSeq and is a predicted model, not a curated record.
GGCUCAGAGCGCGGGCGCCUGGCAGAGCCUGGGGGAUGCGGCGGCGGCAGCAGCAGGUUGGAGGGCGCGCAGCGGGGGCCGAAGGGACUGGGUCGGCACCCGAAGCCGGAGCCGGAGCCCGAGCCUGAGCCGGAGCUGAGACAGAAGUCAAACAGAAGGAAGACAAGCCAAGCCCUGCGCGCCAUGCUUCUGCCCUGACCUUGACAUCUACGACCCUUGCUCUGACCCCGCAGGUCCAGGCCUCACUGUCCACUGCACCGGGACACACACCUGUCCCCAGGUACCAGUGACACCUCUGCCCUGGCCAGGCCCAGGCUGCCACUGGUAGUAACCACAGCUCCCAGAAGGCUGGGGCUGGACCUGUCCAGGCCCCAUGGCCUGCUGCCCUCCUCCCAGCCCCAGCCUGCUGUUGACCUUUAAGCAGACCUUGGCAGUGGAAAUUUCAGGGCCCCAGAGGGGACCCCCAAAGUGAAACUCAAGCCCAGAAAUGGAUUUUCUUCUUCUCCAAGAGCAAAAGAAGUUGAAUAAAAAAUUAGUUACUAUUUUUA